UACCCAUCCACUAUCUCUCUCCAGAAAAGAACGCCUUAUCCUAAUCUCCUUUCCUCGUCUCAACCUGGUGGUGGCGAAGAACCAGAGGGCCACAGCCGCUGCCGGUGUCGUAGCCCGGGGUGUCGAGGGAGAGGCGACGGACUGGAGGAACCAGGCGAGCCGGUCGGCGGGUAACCGGAGCAGCAGCGCCAUCGUCUCCUCCCUUCGUCUUUCUUCUAGUUGGAGCGGGGUCGGCCAGCUGCCGCAUCCCCGUCGAGGAAGGGGCCACGGAGCUCACGCCGGAGAGUGGCCUAGUGCUUAGGUAAGGCUGCAGCCGCGCUGUCGUGUGGUCUGCUGACACCAAGGGCUGGUCCAUCGCCGGGGCGUGCAUCAGCAGCGACGCCUCCGAGAUUGGCCACCCGCCAUGGAUGUUCCUCUGGUCUGACCCUAGUGCCAUGGAACAAGUCAAGCACGCAUGGCAGCAGAUCGCUGCAGCCAUCCUUCUCACCUGGGAAGGAGGAGAUCCAUCAGCAGCCCAGAUUUUUUUGAUGAAACGGUGAAGAUGAAGAAGGAAAGCAACCGGAACGGGCGAAGAGAGGUGGAUAGGAAGUAAUUCUAAAAAAUACUGUAUUAGUAGAUUAAGUUGCAUCAGAAUAUAUAUGGAGCUGCUUAGUUCACAUCAACAGUUGCAUAAAAAUGCCUGGAACACAUUUUUUCUUUUUUAAUAGUUGUCCAUGAAUCACACUAAAGUUGCCUAUGUUAGAGAAUAUAUAUGUUGUCUCUACUUGUUGUUUUUGUGGUUCUUUUUUUUCGCACAAG
This 798-nucleotide ribosomal RNA is filed under the name Triticum aestivum (bread wheat). Its description in RNAcentral is "partial small subunit ribosomal RNA". The record is from RNAcentral. Lineage: Eukaryota; Viridiplantae; Streptophyta; Magnoliopsida; Poales; Poaceae.